RNAcentral lists this ribosomal RNA (709 nucleotides) under Staphylococcus sp. 1111(2011). RNAcentral describes it as "bacterial SSU rRNA". It matches the Rfam family "Bacterial small subunit ribosomal RNA", at positions 45 to 737 of the family's 1533-position model. The record is from RNAcentral. Lineage: Bacteria; Bacillati; Bacillota; Bacilli; Caryophanales; Staphylococcaceae.
UGCUAUACAUGCAAGUCGAGCGAACAGAUGAGAAGCUUGCUUCUCUGAUGUUAGCGGCGGACGGGUGAGUAACACGUGGGUAACCUACCUAUAAGACUGGGAUAACUCCGGGAAACCGGGGCUAAUACCGGAUAAUAUUUUGAACCGCAUGGUUCAAUAGUGAAAGACGGUUUCGGCUGUCACUUAUAGAUGGACCCGCGCCGUAUUAGCUAGUUGGUAAGGUAACGGCUUACCAAGGCGACGAUACGUAGCCGACCUGAGAGGGUGAUCGGCCACACUGGAACUGAGACACGGUCCAGACUCCUACGGGAGGCAGCAGUAGGGAAUCUUCCGCAAUGGGCGAAAGCCUGACGGAGCAACGCCGCGUGAGUGAUGAAGGUCUUCGGAUCGUAAAACUCUGUUGUUAGGGAAGAACAAAUUUGUUAGUAACUGAACAAGUCUUGACGGUACCUAACCAGAAAGCCACGGCUAACUACGUGCCAGCAGCCGCGGUAAUACGUAGGUGGCAAGCGUUAUCCGGAAUUAUUGGGCGUAAAGCGCGCGUAGGCGGUUUCUUAAGUCUGAUGUGAAAGCCCACGGCUCAACCGUGGAGGGUCAUUGGAAACUGGGAAACUUGAGUGCAGAAGAGGAGAGUGGAAUUCCAUGUGUAGCGGUGAAAUGCGCAGAGAUAUGGAGGAACACCAGUGGCGAAGGCGGCUCUCUGGUCUGU